GCUCAGAUUGAACGCUGGCGGCAGGCCUAACACAUGCAAGUCGAGCGGUAGAGAGAAGCUUGCUUCUCUUGAGAGCGGCGGACGGGUGAGUAAAGCCUAGGAAUCUGCCUGGUAGUGGGGGAUAACGUUCGGAAACGGACGCUAAUACCGCAUACGUCCUACGGGAGAAAGCAGGGGACCUUCGGGCCUUGCGCUAUCAGAUGAGCCUAGGUCGGAUUAGCUAGUUGGUGAGGUAAUGGCUCACCAAGGCGACGAUCCGUAACUGGUCUGAGAGGAUGAUCAGUCACACUGGAACUGAGACACGGUCCAGACUCCUACGGGAGGCAGCAGUGGGGAAUAUUGGACAAUGGGCGAAAGCCUGAUCCAGCCAUGCCGCGUGUGUGAAGAAGGUCUUCGGAUUGUAAAGCACUUUAAGUUGGGAGGAAGGGCAGUUACCUAAUACGUGAUUGUUUGACGUACCGAC
RNAcentral lists this ribosomal RNA (463 nucleotides) under Flavobacterium sp. IGS58. Its description in RNAcentral is "bacterial SSU rRNA". It matches the Rfam family "Bacterial small subunit ribosomal RNA", at positions 22 to 482 of the family's 1533-position model. Lineage: Bacteria; Pseudomonadati; Bacteroidota; Flavobacteriia; Flavobacteriales; Flavobacteriaceae. The record is from RNAcentral.